GGGGAUUUAGCUCAGUGGUAGAGCGCUUGCCUAGCAAGCGCAAGGCUCUGGGUUCGGACCCCAGCUCCG
Molecule: transfer RNA, 69 nt
Filed under: Rattus norvegicus (Norway rat)
Lineage: Eukaryota; Metazoa; Chordata; Mammalia; Rodentia; Muridae
Rfam family: tRNA
About the family: Transfer RNA (tRNA) molecules are approximately 80 nucleotides in length. Their secondary structure includes four short double-helical elements and three loops (D, anti-codon, and T loops).
Source: Rfam by way of RNAcentral